Molecule: transfer RNA, 64 nt
Filed under: Phyllidiella pustulosa
Lineage: Eukaryota; Metazoa; Mollusca; Gastropoda; Nudibranchia; Phyllidiidae
Also listed under: 1 other name
Description: tRNA-Gly
Source: RNAcentral
CUUUAGUAAGUAUUUUUGUACAUUUGCCUUCCAAGCAAAAAGACUAGCAAAGUUAGCCUAAAGA